AGAAAGAGCAAGGCGAUGUGCCGGGCAUGGACAUGCAGACAUGAGCCAGCAAUAUUCGAAGGAGGAAGAAAGGUGCAAAAAAAAAGACCUGUCCAAAACUGAAAAGUAUAUAUGGAGACAUCGCAGAGCAGCAAGAGAAGCAGGAAUGGACCAGACACGAAGGGCCACCAGGCUGAAGGGCUGGGCUGUGUCCUGGGGGGACUGGGAAGCCAUGGGAGGGCUGUGAGCAGGAGAGGAGCCGGGCAGCUCUGGGGGACAGAGUGAAUUCCAGGAGGCCCAGAAAGAAGCUUGGGAGAGGGUCCACGCCAAGACAAUAGAGGUUCUUAUCCCCAUUUGACGGCGUGGGGUGGGGCUGUGCUGGUCUCAGAACCAGGAAGCGGAGGAAGCUGGUGUUCUGGGCCCAGCCCAGGGCUCCUUCUGGGAACUGGACGGGGCAGGGACUGAGCACAGCAUUCACCACGGGGCUUCCUGCCUUAGAAUGAAGAUGCUUACCUGGUGGGAGGAGCAUCAGAGUCCCAAGGCCAAAGAAGGCUUGCCCCUUAAGAAACCAGAGCUGCUGGAGGAAACAGAAGUACCCAAAAUGCCUGAAGCUGACACCCCACCAGACCGGGCUGGAGGGCUCUGGAGAGAAAGAAGAGUGUAGACUCCGAGAUGGAUCACGGCAUGCGGCCCAGGACGUGGAAACCUGGCCCAGGCAGAGGUGCGACUCCAUCCCAGACUCCAGACCCAGAGGCCGUCGCCCGGCUCUCACCCAUUUCCUGGGGAAACAUGCCCCGGGGCCUCCCCAGCGCCAGCCCUCAUGUUAGCCAAUGUAGGGGACACGCCUAACACCUGACA
RNAcentral lists this long non-coding RNA (837 nucleotides) under Homo sapiens (human). RNAcentral describes it as "HSALNT0398565". The record is from RNAcentral. Lineage: Eukaryota; Metazoa; Chordata; Mammalia; Primates; Hominidae.